GGGUUGUGAGGUUAAGCGACUAAGCGUACACGGUGGAUGCCCUGGCAGUCAGAGGCGAUGAAGGACGUGCUAAUCUGCGAUAAGCGCCGGUAAGGUGAUAUGAACCGUUAUAACCGGCGAUUUCCGAAUGGGGAAACCCAGUGUGACUCGUCACACUAUCAUUAACUGAAUCCAUAGGUUAAUGAGGCGAACCGGGGGAACUGAAACAUCUAAGUACCCCGAGGAAAAGAAAUCAACCGAGAUUCCCCCAGUAGCGGCGAGCGAACGGGGAGGAGCCCAGAGCCUGAAUCAGCAUGUGUGUUAGUGGAAGCGUCUGGAAAGGCGCGCGAUACAGGGUGACAGCCCCGUACACAAAAGCGCAUGUGCUGUGAGCUCGAUGAGUAGGGCGGGACACGUGGUAUCCUGUCUGAAUAUGGGGGGACCAUCCUCCAAGGCUAAAUACUCCUGACUGACCGAUAGUGAACCAGUACCGUGAGGGAAAGGCGAAAAGAACCCCGGCGAGGGGAGUGAAAAAGAACCUGAAACCGUGUACGUACAAGCAGUGGGAGCCCCACCACCAAAGCAUUCUCUGGUGUUGAAGGCCCUGCAAAGCAGCAUCGCGGUGGCGGAGCGUCGUUUGCGACGCCCAACACACAAAACAAGCGGUGAGUGCUUUGGGGUGGGGUGACUGCGUACCUUUUGUAUAAUGGGUCAGCGACUUAUAUUCUGUAGCAAGGUUAACCGAAUAGGGGAGCCGGAGGGAAACCGAGUCUUAACCGGGCGUUAAGUUGCAGGGUAUAGACCCGAAACCCGGUGAUCUAGCCAUGGGCAGGUUGAAGGUUGGGUAACACUAACUGGAGGACCGAACCGACUAAUGUUGAAAAAUUAGCGGAUGACCUGUGGCUGGGGGUGAAAGGCCAAUCAAACCGGGAGAUAGCUGGUUCUCCCCGAAAGCUAUUUAGGUAGCGCCUCGUGAAUUCAUCUCCGGGGGUAGAGCACUGUUUCGGCUAGGGGGCCAUCCCGGCUUACCAACCCGAUGCAAACUGCGAAUACCGGAGAAUGUUAUCACGGGAGACACACGGCGGGUGCUAACGUCCGUCGUGAAGAGGGAAACAACCCAGACCGCCAGCUAAGGUCCCAAAGUCAUGGUUAAGUGGGAAACGAUGUGGGAAGGCCCAGACAGCCAGGAUGUUGGCUUAGAAGCAGCCAUCAUUUAAAGAAAGCGUAAUAGCUCACUGGUCGAGUCGGCCUGCGCGGAAGAUGUAACGGGGCUAAACCAUGCACCGAAGCUGCGGCAGCGACACUGUGUGUUGUUGGGUAGGGGAGCGUUCUGUAAGCCUGCGAAGGUGGCCUGUGAGGGUUGCUGGAGGUAUCAGAAGUGCGAAUGCUGACAUAAGUAACGAUAAAGCGGGUGAAAAGCCCGCUCGCCGGAAGACCAAGGGUUCCUGUCCAACGUUAAUCGGGGCAGGGUGAGUCGACCCCUAAGGCGAGGCCGAAAGGCGUAGUCGAUGGGAAACGGGUUAAUAUUCCCGUACUUGGUGUUACUGCGAAGGGGGGACGGAGAAGGCUAUGUUGGCCGGGCGACGGUUGUCCCGGUUUAAGCGUGUAGGUGUGUGUUCCAGGUAAAUCCGGUUCACUUUAACACUGAGGCGUGAUGACGAGGCACUACGGUGCUGAAGCAACAAAUGCCCUGCUUCCAGGAAAAGCCUCUAAGCAUCAGGUAACAUCAAAUCGUACCCCAAACCGACACAGGUGGUCAGGUAGAGAAUACCAAGGCGCUUGAGAGAACUCGGGUGAAGGAACUAGGCAAAAUGGUGCCGUAACUUCGGGAGAAGGCACGCUGACACGUAGGUGAAGUGAUUUACUCAUGGAGCUGAAGUCAGUCGAAGAUACCAGCUGGCUGCAACUGUUUAUUAAAAACACAGCACUGUGCAAACACGAAAGUGGACGUAUACGGUGUGACGCCUGCCCGGUGCCGGAAGGUUAAUUGAUGGGGUCAGCGCAAGCGAAGCUCCUGAUCGAAGCCCCGGUAAACGGCGGCCGUAACUAUAACGGUCCUAAGGUAGCGAAAUUCCUUGUCGGGUAAGUUCCGACCUGCACGAAUGGCGUAAUGAUGGCCAGGCUGUCUCCACCCGAGACUCAGUGAAAUUGAACUCGCUGUGAAGAUGCAGUGUACCCGCGGCAAGACGGAAAGACCCCGUGAACCUUUACUAUAGCUUGACACUGAACAUUGAGCCUUGAUGUGUAGGAUAGGUGGGAGGCUUUGAAGCGUGGACGCCAGUCUGCGUGGAGCCGACCUUGAAAUACCACCCUUUAAUGUUUGAUGUUCUAACGUGGACCCGUGAUCCGGGUUGCGGACAGUGUCUGGUGGGUAGUUUGACUGGGGCGGUCUCCUCCUAAAGAGUAACGGAGGAGCACGAAGGUUGGCUAAUCCUGGUCGGACAUCAGGAGGUUAGUGCAAUGGCAUAAGCCAGCUUGACUGCGAGCGUGACGGCGCGAGCAGGUGCGAAAGCAGGUCAUAGUGAUCCGGUGGUUCUGAAUGGAAGGGCCAUCGCUCAACGGAUAAAAGGUACUCCGGGGAUAACAGGCUGAUACCGCCCAAGAGUUCAUAUCGACGGCGGUGUUUGGCACCUCGAUGUCGGCUCAUCACAUCCUGGGGCUGAAGUAGGUCCCAAGGGUAUGGCUGUUCGCCAUUUAAAGUGGUACGCGAGCUGGGUUUAGAACGUCGUGAGACAGUUCGGUCCCUAUCUGCCGUGGGCGCUGGAGAACUGAGGGGGGCUGCUCCUAGUACGAGAGGACCGGAGUGGACGCAUCACUGGUGUUCGGGUUGUCAUGCCAAUGGCACUGCCCGGUAGCUAAAUGCGGAAGAGAUAAGUGCUGAAAGCAUCUAAGCACGAAACUUGCCCCGAGAUGAGUUCUCCCUGAGACUUAGAGUCUCCUGAAGGAACGUUGAAGACGACGACGUUGAUAGGCCGGGUGUGUAAGCGCAGCGAUGCGUUGAGCUAACCGGUACUAAUGAACCGUGAGGCUUAACCUUACAACGCCGAAG
This 3028-nucleotide ribosomal RNA is filed under the name Salmonella enterica subsp. enterica serovar 43:a:1,7. RNAcentral describes it as "23S ribosomal RNA". It matches the Rfam family "Bacterial large subunit ribosomal RNA". The record is from RNAcentral. Lineage: Bacteria; Pseudomonadati; Pseudomonadota; Gammaproteobacteria; Enterobacterales; Enterobacteriaceae.